RNAcentral lists this ribosomal RNA (253 nucleotides) under uncultured bacterium. Its description in RNAcentral is "partial 16S ribosomal RNA". It matches the Rfam family "Bacterial small subunit ribosomal RNA", at positions 524 to 776 of the family's 1533-position model. The record is from RNAcentral.
UACGGAGGGUGCGAGCGUUGUCCGGAAUCAUUGGGCGUAAAGGGCUCGUAGGCGGCCAACUAAGUCGGAUGUGAAAUCCCCAGGCUUAACCUGGGAACUGCAUCCGAUACUGGAUGGCUUGAAUCCGGGAGAGGGAUGCAGAAUUCCAGGUGUAGCGGUGAAAUGCGUAGAUAUCUGGAGGAAUACCGGUGGCGAAGGCGGCAUCCUGGACCGGCAUUGACGCUGAUGAGCGAAAGCUAGGGGAGCAAACGGG